This is a long non-coding RNA of Pezoporus occidentalis (night parrot), 883 nucleotides long. RefSeq lists it as uncharacterized. The transcript is spliced from 2 exons. NCBI's taxonomy places the organism in Eukaryota, Metazoa, Chordata, Aves, Psittaciformes, Psittacidae. The record is from RefSeq and is a predicted model, not a curated record.
UGUUUCAGGGGAAUUUCUUUGGGGAAAAUGCCUCAAGAAGUCCCCUGCCUGCAGACCCCAACAGCAGGAGAGCCAGCAGCAGCACAUCCUGCAUGCCCAGAGAUGGGAGAGCAAAUGGAAUAAUGCAUAUUCCAGAACAUCCUCUCAGGGAAACUGUAGCACCACAGAGAGGCAGUUUAGCCCCAGACAAAUAUGAAAUGUAGCACCAGAGAAACUAAGGUCAGAAGAACAGCUUAUCUCACCUGGUGCUAUAGCACUGAAUAUAUACACACACAGACUGUCUGUCGUCCAAGCUGCCAAGCACCCAUGCCCGCCCCACGGCAAGGCUGUGCCCGUCCCGCAGCAAGCUUGGUCUCUCAAGGUAUUACUUAACUCUGGAUGUAUUUUCCACCCCACUGCAUCGAAAGGAACGUUUAUGUUGCCAUAAACAAGGUGCAGUGGCGAAACUGCCAGUGUUACAGCAAGGACAUCACUAAUCUUUUGACUCAGACUGCAGGAGCACAAAUGCUCAGACCACCAUCAUCUACAAGGAAUGUUGCUUACGUUCUCAACAAGGCAUGCACGUCUUAACGUAUGCAUACAGGAGGGUUUACAUUCUUCUAUAUAUAAGCAUGUAUGUGUCUCUGGUUUGCUGCUGGGCCCUUGAACAGCUCCUUCUGUGCAAAUCCUUCUUCACGUUGCCCAAAGCACUUCCAACAUCUUCCACUUCUUUCUUUCUCUCCACUCUUCACAGCUGCUGCUCAGGCUCUGGAUCCCUGUAGGAAAAGGGAAACAAUUUUCUCCAAGGGCACAGGGUUCUCUCCAGCCUAAGAAAGCAAAAGAAUUGUGUUUGGGUUUAAUUAUAUUGAUGCAUUGCUUACAAUAAAAGCUUCUUUGAAAUUUA